UACGAAGGGGGCUAGCGUUGCUCGGAAUCACUGGGCGUAAAGGGUGCGUAGGCGGGUCUUUAAGUCAGGGGUGAAAUCCUGGAGCUCAACUCCAGAACUGCCUUUGAUACUGAGGAUCUUGAGUUCGGGAGAGGUGAGUGGAACUGCGAGUGUAGAGGUGAAAUUCGUAGAUAUUCGCAAGAACACCAGAAGCGAAGGCGGCCAACUGGCCCGAUACUGACGCUGAGGCGCGAAAGCGUGGGGAGCAAACAGG
Molecule: ribosomal RNA, 253 nt
Filed under: uncultured bacterium
Lineage: Bacteria
Description: partial 16S ribosomal RNA
Rfam family: Bacterial small subunit ribosomal RNA
Source: RNAcentral